GCCCGUUAAUGUCAAUAUCAAGGCUUGUUUCUGAAAACAUUCACAGAUGCCUCCUAAUAGCUUUCGCCCAACCAGUCUUGAGAGCUAAUGUUGUUACAUUCUUCUUGGAUGUCUGAGGCC
This is a small nucleolar RNA of Lolium rigidum, 120 nucleotides long. RefSeq annotates it as small nucleolar RNA SNORD14. The record is from RefSeq and is a predicted model, not a curated record. The transcript has a single exon. NCBI's taxonomy places the organism in Eukaryota, Viridiplantae, Streptophyta, Magnoliopsida, Poales, Poaceae.